GGCAGAACAAGAAACAGAAGAAACACAGAGAGUUGGUAAAGAAAAACUGACGACUCCUCCACUCGCUCUCUUAGACGGCAGCCGACCCUCCACAACCUAGGCGAACGCAGCGAGUUCCUCCAGUCCAGAGACACGAGAGAUUCUGCUCAGUUCAAUGGCAUUGCGGAAAUCCCACAGCGGAAGGAGGGGGAUACAUCACACUUUUUGAAGUAAUUCAUUCAAGUCAUAGCCGGAGAGAGAGACGCUGAACAGACGCAGUAAAUCGAUACCAAUCAGGCCCACGAUUGACAGGAAGCCGGAUUUCAGGAGACACUGACCUGACAAGUUAGCUGCAAUAGGGUAGAAACACUUGAUGAUAUUUAGUGGGAUUGAAGUUCAGUAGUGACCUAAAAACCUCUUUUGCACAUGACAUGCAGUUUCCUCUGAGAGUUGUUAAAUGGAAUCUUUUCUGCACAGUGUUUAAUUAAACCCAUUUAAGAAAUGAAUGCCUCUGCAUAAUCGCAUAAACCAAUGCUACAUAGUCUUUACAUUAAACUAUUUUCAUUUGAGGAGGAUCUUGUUCUCUUUCCAGACAUAUGCAAGGUUUUUACUGAACAUUUCCCGUGGCUAAGGCUUCGAUAACUAAAAAAUGGCACAGACCUUUUGUUGCUAUGGCAGAUUUGUUGUGAUAAAACUCAAUGAGAAGCAUGACUUCAUUUUCCACUACCAGAAAAAGGCACAAUAUUAUAGUGUGGAGACAACCACAGUAUCCU
Molecule: non-coding RNA, 752 nt
Organism: Pimephales promelas (fathead minnow)
Lineage: Eukaryota; Metazoa; Chordata; Actinopteri; Cypriniformes; Leuciscidae
Source: RefSeq, a predicted model, not a curated record